RNAcentral lists this unclassified non-coding RNA (205 nucleotides) under Hevea brasiliensis (rubber tree). The record is from RNAcentral. Lineage: Eukaryota; Viridiplantae; Streptophyta; Magnoliopsida; Malpighiales; Euphorbiaceae.
GCAAUAUAUUAAUAGUUCAUUUUUUCAGCAAUAACUGUUUUUUUAACUGGCACAAAUUAUUAUUAAUACUCACUUAUAUACCUGGUCAUUUGGUGCCUUUGAUGGCAAGAACUAGUUAUAGUUUUCAGUUGACAUCAUGCUUUAGUCUGUGAACACUCGUCUUUGUGUCCUUUUUGUUUGCAGAUAAUGGCUACUGCUUAUCUCA